GUCCCAGUAAUUUAAUAAAAAUAUUGGUCUUGUAAACCAAAAACGAAAGUACAACACUUUCCUAGGACA
Molecule: transfer RNA, 69 nt
Filed under: Osphranter rufus (red kangaroo)
Lineage: Eukaryota; Metazoa; Chordata; Mammalia; Diprotodontia; Macropodidae
Description: tRNA-Thr
Rfam family: tRNA
About the family: Transfer RNA (tRNA) molecules are approximately 80 nucleotides in length. Their secondary structure includes four short double-helical elements and three loops (D, anti-codon, and T loops).
Source: RNAcentral